Acomys russatus (golden spiny mouse) is the source of this 108-nucleotide small nuclear RNA. Lineage: Eukaryota; Metazoa; Chordata; Mammalia; Rodentia; Muridae. The record is from RefSeq and is a predicted model, not a curated record.
GUGUUCGCUUUGACAGCACAUAUACUAAAAUUGCAACAAUACAGAGAAGAUUAGGACGGCUCCCCAGGCAAGGAUGACACACAAAUUCGUGAAGCAUUCCAUAGUAAA